RNAcentral lists this microRNA precursor (64 nucleotides) under Mus musculus (house mouse). RNAcentral's name for it is "Mmu-Mir-486_pre stem-loop". It matches the Rfam family "mir-486 microRNA precursor family". The record is from RNAcentral. Lineage: Eukaryota; Metazoa; Chordata; Mammalia; Rodentia; Muridae.
UCCUGUACUGAGCUGCCCCGAGGUCCUUCACUGUGCUCAGCUCGGGGCAGCUCAGUACAGGAUG